This 80-nucleotide non-coding RNA is filed under the name Streptomyces alboflavus. Lineage: Bacteria; Bacillati; Actinomycetota; Actinomycetes; Kitasatosporales; Streptomycetaceae. The record is from RNAcentral.
AGAGGAAGCCGGUGCGAAUCCGGCGCGGUCCCGCCACUGUCACCGGGCGAUCCGACGCGAUCCCCGGGAGCCAGGAACUC